GACGAACGCUGGCGGCGUGCUUAACACAUGCAAGUCGAACGGACAGGCCCUGCUUUUGUGGGGUGCUCGAGUGGCGAACGGGUGAGUAACACGUGAGUAUACUGCCCUUGACUUUGGGAUAACUUCAGGAAACAGGGGCUAAUACCGGAUAGGAGCUCCUGCUGCAUGGGGGGGGAUGGAAAGUUUCGGCGGUUGGGGCUGGUCUAGAGGCUUAUCAGCUGGUUGGUGGGGUAGUGGCUGUCCAAGGCUUCGACGGGUAGCCGGCCUUGGAGGGUGACCGGGGUCAUGGCGCCUGAGGGACGCCCCAGUCUGCUACGGGAGGCAGAGGUGGGAAAUAUGGCGCAAUGGGGGGACGCGUGAUGCAGCAACGCCGCGUGCGGGAUGACGGCCUUCGGGUUGUAAACCGAUUUCGCCUGUAACGAAGCGGGAGUGACGGUAAUGGGUAAAGAAGCACCGGCUAACUACGUG
Molecule: ribosomal RNA, 468 nt
Filed under: uncultured bacterium
Lineage: Bacteria
Description: partial 16S ribosomal RNA
Rfam family: Bacterial small subunit ribosomal RNA
Source: RNAcentral